CCUACGGGAGGCUGCAGUGAGGAAUAUUGGUCAAUGGACGAGAGUCUGAACCAGCCAAGUAGCGUGAAGGAUGACUGCCCUAUGGGUUGUAAACUUCUUUUAUAAAGGAAUAAAAGGAGGCAAGUGUGCCUUUUUGCAUGUACUUUAUGAAUAAGGAUCGGCUAACUCCGUGCCAGCAGCCGUGGUAAUACGGAGGAUCCGAGCGUUAUCCGGAUUUAUUGGGUUUAAAGGGAGCGUAGAUGGGUCGUUACGUCAGUUGUGAAAGUUUGCGGCUCAAACGUCGAAUUGCAAUUGAUACGGGCAGUCUUGAGUGCAGUAGAGGUAAGCGGAAUUCGUUGUGUAGCGGUGAAAG
RNAcentral lists this ribosomal RNA (352 nucleotides) under uncultured bacterium. RNAcentral describes it as "partial 16S ribosomal RNA". It matches the Rfam family "Bacterial small subunit ribosomal RNA", at positions 338 to 687 of the family's 1533-position model. The record is from RNAcentral.